Molecule: long non-coding RNA, 1698 nt
Organism: Dromaius novaehollandiae (emu)
Lineage: Eukaryota; Metazoa; Chordata; Aves; Casuariiformes; Dromaiidae
Exons: 3
Source: RefSeq, a predicted model, not a curated record
GGGGUGGGGUUGUGCGGGCUCUGCUCCGGCUGUCAUGGUGACUGAGCUCGGCGGGCCGCGGGCACGGCGGGACUGCGUGCCUCCCCGUGUCUCUACCCGGCGCCACACCCCUCGGGGUGCCUUGCUGGCUCCUGGGUUUUCUCCUCGUGUGCGUGCUUCCCACCGUUUGCUGCCUUCACUUCUGCCCGAGUGCCUGCUAUUACAGCAGUCAUAAAGGAAGAAGCUGGAGAAGAGCUGGAGGACUGACUAUUACUCUCACCUAACCUAAACCAUUUUCAGUAGUAACAGAGAAAACACAAACAGAGGGAUGGACAUUACCUCCUCAGUCUGAGUAUGGAGCGGAGAAGUCUGCAACUGUAUCGUAUUUUUGGGAACGCACAUUAAAGUGAGACAGUGCUAAUGAAGCAGGCCACAGCCUUGUCCUGUCCAGUUGUCCCUGAGCUACAAACCAAAGCAGAAGUUAGCCAGCUAAAGGUCUAAGGACACAAGUAGCUUGCAGGAUUGCGACAACUUUUAUGGAAGGAUCAGCUUUGACUCUGAUUAUUACCAGGAUUUUUUCAGAAUCAUAUUGCUGAAAAGGAAACUUUCAACCAGAACUCCAAUUUGCAAAGUAAUGUAUUCAAAGAAUACAUUGAGUCAAAGUCACUAAUGGUGAAAGUGCGUGCACUGAACUGAUGUAAGUGUGGCUGUUAGUGGAACUGGACAGUUAGACCACUAAAAGUGUAUCUGGCAAGAAUAAAAUAGGAAAAACUUGGUCAGUAUCAAAAGACAGACAAUACUCAUAGUUUUGACUUCAUUUAUUAAUGCUGCCAAUAAAACCUAUGUGUUUGGUUAAUAAGGCUUUGCAUUCAGAUUUCAGAGAAACUCUACGGCUCACAACUUAAAAUAAAAAAACACUAGAAGUCUGAAUAUUUUUCCAGUCAGGUCUUAAAGACUCCACAUAUACUAUUUAAAUAUUAACUAUUGAUUAUUAUUUUAUCCUCACCACCACCAUCCCAGUCUUCAAGAUUUUCCAGUUUUAUUUUUCGCUUGCUCCUGUCUUUGAGCAAUUCAAGUGUACAUAAUGUCUCAAAGUUUAGACAACAGUUAUAAGACAAUGGCAAUGUGAGUACUAUUCAUCAAAUAUGAUAUUGCAGUUGACAACAAAUAAAACCAGCCGUUAACAGAAUCUUGUAUGUGAAGGCAAGAGUAAAUUAGAAAUUUAGUAAUUAUAAUGCAGUCCAGAAUAUAUUAGCAAUCAGUUGAUAAAUGUGUCUUUUCAAUACUUUACCCUCAGUAAUAAAAUAUAUUUAUAAUCUGUCAUUAUUAGUAAGAAUGUAAAUAUUGUACUAGCAUUGUACUAGGUUAAAAAAAAAAACUGUAUGGUUACUGAAAACUUGCUUUUUUCCCUCCUUAUCUAGUAGCUGCACUGUCUCAUUUGAGAUCUGGAUAUUCUACUAAAGUGCAAUUCCAAGAUUUCAUAAUUAUUAUUAACAUCAAAUAGUAUUAAUCAGCAUAGACUAUUAACUUUUGAACACAAGGCACAAUAAAUCCAGGUUCACAUAUUAACUAUUCAUAAAUACAGUGUUCAUCACCAUAAAUCAUUUUACUUAGAGAUAUAUUGCAGAGCUACAGAACAGAAACACCAGUUAUGCUUUUUCUUUCAAACAUAUUCUUUUCUUCAAGUUGAUUAUAUAGCCCAGGCUUUUUAUUUUUUUU